Molecule: unclassified non-coding RNA, 506 nt
Filed under: Hevea brasiliensis (rubber tree)
Lineage: Eukaryota; Viridiplantae; Streptophyta; Magnoliopsida; Malpighiales; Euphorbiaceae
Source: RNAcentral
AGAGUGUAAUUCAGGUAGAUGAUUGCAGAAAUCCAAAGUUCACUGGCUCCAUUGAUGCAUUCAGAAAGAUCCUGGCGUCAGAGGGUGUCAAAGGCUUGUACAGGGGUUUUGGCCCUGCUAUGGCUCGAAGUGUGCCUGCAAAUGCGGCAUGUUUCUUGGCGUAUGAAGUGGCAAGGUCUAGUUUGGGAUGAUUGAUUUUUUCAGGCAUUGGUUAUUGGCCAAAGAUUUUGGUUAAUCUUCAUCAUUGUUAUCAUAUUGCUCAUCUCAAAGUCCUCGUGUCAUUCAAUGAAAGCUUCUUGGAGUAAUUGUUAAGCAAUAUGAUAACAGCUUAUUUAUCAUAAAACAAACGGGCCUUUUAUCCUCCCAAUAUUGAUACGAUUCUUGUUUGGGUGAUGGAAGAAACACUUACCUCAACAGUAGUUGCAUUUGUUUUAUUUUUUUUCCCCUAAUUUUUCAGCAGAUGGUUUUCAUGUUAAACAAGAGGAUCUAAGCCAUAUGAAUAAAAU